This 725-nucleotide ribosomal RNA is filed under the name uncultured bacterium. RNAcentral's name for it is "bacterial SSU rRNA". It matches the Rfam family "Bacterial small subunit ribosomal RNA", at positions 1 to 717 of the family's 1533-position model. The record is from RNAcentral.
AAUUCGAUUAGAGUUUGAUCCUGGCUCAGAUUGAACGCUGGCGGCAUGCCUUACACAUGCAAGUCGAACGGCAGCACGGGAGCUUGCUCCUGGUGGCGAGUGGCGAACGGGUGAGUAAUACAUCGGAACGUACCCAGGAGUGGGGGAUAACGUAGCGAAAGUUACGCUAAUACCGCAUAUUCUGUGAGCAGGAAAGCGGGGGAUCGCAAGACCUCGCGCUCUUGGAGCGGCCGAUGUCGGAUUAGCUAGUUGGUGAGGUAAAAGCUCACCAAGGCGACGAUCCGUAGCAGGUCUGAGAGGAUGAUCUGCCACACUGGGACUGAGACACGGCCCAGACUCCUACGGGAGGCAGCAGUGGGGAAUUUUGGACAAUGGGGGCAACCCUGAUCCAGCCAUGCCGCGUGAGUGAAGAAGGCCUUCGGGUUGUAAAGCUCUUUCGGCGGGGAAGAAAUGGCAACGGCUAAUAUCCGUUGUUGAUGACGGUACCCGCAUAAGAAGCACCGGCUAACUACGUGCCAGCAGCCGCGGUAAUACGUAGGGUGCGAGCGUUAAUCGGAAUUACUGGGCGUAAAGCGUGCGCAGGCGGUUUCGUAAGACAGACGUGAAAUCCCCGGGCUCAACCUGGGAACUGCGUUUGUGACUGCGAGGCUAGAGUACGGCAGAGGGGGGUAGAAUUCCACGUGUAGCAGUGAAAUGCGUAGAGAUGUGGAGGAAUACCGAUGGCG